GUGUCCCAUUACACGACGGGCGGGCACUGCUGGGGGAGAGAGCCGCUGUGGGGCUGAUCCAGUCAGAGCUGACUGAGAGUUCAGUUCAGGAGUGAGUUUGUUGUCAACUACAGACAAUGGCCCCAGAACCCUCAGAUUUAUGAACAUUAGAAGGUAACCUACAUACUGCUUUGCUGCACUGUGAGCUUCUCACCCACUGAUCAGCCGCUCAUCUCAACACCGUGAAGAAUCAUCCUCUUUGACCGAUAUAUCAUCUUAUGAAACACAUAAGAUGGCUGCACGAUCAAAUAAUCCUUCUACUAUACAGAACUGUACGUCCUUCUACUUUGAUGUACUUAUUUUAGUCUUCUCAUUUCAUGCCUGUUUUGACAGUGUCUGAAUAAUUAAUAUCAUUUUUCAAAAUAAAAGUAUCCAGUGACGUUGUGGGUAGAAAAUGUUUUCUAUUUAAAUACAGUAGAAAUACACAAACUUAUGCAAUCUGACU
Molecule: long non-coding RNA, 484 nt
Organism: Sander lucioperca (pikeperch)
Lineage: Eukaryota; Metazoa; Chordata; Actinopteri; Perciformes; Percidae
Exons: 3
Source: RefSeq, a predicted model, not a curated record